This is a long non-coding RNA of Homo sapiens (human), 857 nucleotides long. Ensembl annotates it as long intergenic non-protein coding RNA 460. NCBI's taxonomy places the organism in Eukaryota, Metazoa, Chordata, Mammalia, Primates, Hominidae. The record is from Ensembl.
CAUUAUUGACUCAGAGGGAUGAACGCCAGAUCCUGACUCACCGCCAGGACAUCGGAGGUACCCAGACAUUGUUAUGAAACUCCGCAUGUGCCCCUGGUGGACGCUGCUGGACCCAGCAUGCACACUUCUCGGCUAAGAGUCACCCUGGAUGAACCACCAUUGCCAGCGGGGAGCAUGUUGCAGCUUUCCCACGCAGUGGAUGAGAACGAAGGUUACGACCAUUGUGUGGGAGGCGUCUGUGUAGCAAUUGCUGGAAUCACUUGUGGCAUUGUAGAAAGACUGAGCGUGGGAAAGAAGACGCAUUCUGAAGUCACCCCGAUUUAUGUUAAAUUAUCACCUUGACUACUGCUAUAGAACGAAUGUUUAUGUCCCCCACCCAAAUUCGUAUGCUAAGACCUAAUAGCCAAUAAGAUAGUAUUAAUAGAUGGGGCCUUUGGGAGGUGAGUGGCUCAUGAGGGCAGAGUCCUCAAAACCAGAUAAGUGCCCGAAUAAAAGGGGCCCCAGAGAGAUCCCUUGCACCGUCUACCAUGUGAAGUGUAGAACACAGCGAGAAGGCCACCUAUGAGCCAGAACGUGGGCCCUCACCAGAACCCAGUUGUGCUGGCACCCUGAUCCUGGACUUCCAGCCUCCAAAAUGACGACAAAGAAGUUUGUUUUUCCUGAGCCAUCCACUUCAAAGUAUUCUGUCAUAGCUCCCCAAAUAGACUAAGACAUCUACUUAACCUUGGUCAAACGUUUAACCUUGGAGUCCACGCCUCUGAAAUGGUGACAAUAACACUGUGUAUUUCCUACUUUAUGAUCAGGAUUAAUAAAUGUAAUUUAUUAAUCAGAAAUUAGUAAUUUCUGAUUAUUAAUUC